RNAcentral lists this ribosomal RNA (427 nucleotides) under uncultured bacterium. Its description in RNAcentral is "partial 16S ribosomal RNA". It matches the Rfam family "Bacterial small subunit ribosomal RNA", at positions 355 to 774 of the family's 1533-position model. The record is from RNAcentral.
UGGGGAAUAUUGGACAAUGGGCGAAAGCCUGAUCCAGCCAUGCCGCGUGUGUGAAGAAGGUCUUCGGAUUGUAAAGCACUUUAAGUUGGGAGGAAGGGCAUUAACCUAAUACGUUAGUGUUUUGACGUUACCGACAGAAUAAGCACCGGCUAACUCUGUGCCAGCAGCCGCGGUAAUACAGAGGGUGCAAGCGUUAAUCGGAAUUACUGGGCGUAAAGCGCGCGUAGGUGGUUUGUUAAGUUGGAUGUGGAAUCCCCGGGCUCAACCUGGGAACUGCAUUCAAAACUGACUGACUAGAGUAUGGUAGAGGGUGGUGGUAUUUCCUGUGUAGCGGUGAAAUGCGGAGAUAUAGGAAGGAACACCAGUGGCGAAGGCGACCACCUGGACUAAUACUGACACUGAGGUGCGAAAGCGUGGGGAGCAAACA